GACGAACGCUGGCGGCGUGCCUAAUACAUGCCAGUAGAACGCUGAAGGAGUAGCUUGCUUCUCUGGAUGAGUUGCGAACGGGUGAGUAACGCGUAGGUAACCUGCCUGGUAGCGGGGGAUAACUAUUGGAAACGAUAGCUAAUACCGCAUAAUAGUAGAUGUUGCAUGACAUUUGCUUAAAAGGUGCAAUUGCAUCACUACCAGAUGGACCUGCGUUGUAUUAGCUAGUUGGUGAGGUAACGGCUCACCAAGGCAACGAUACAUAGCCGACCUGAGAGGGUGAUCGGCCACACUGGGACUGAGACACGGCCCAGACUCCUACGGGAGGCAGCAGUAGGGAAUCUUCGGCAAUGGACGGAAGUCUGACCGAGCAACGCCGCGUGAGUGAAGAAGGUUUUCGGAUCGUAAAGCUCUGUUGUAAGAGAAGAACGAGUGUGAGAGUGGAAAGUUCACACUGUGACGGUAUCUUACCAGAAAGGGACGGCUAACUACGUG
Molecule: ribosomal RNA, 495 nt
Filed under: uncultured bacterium
Lineage: Bacteria
Description: partial 16S ribosomal RNA
Rfam family: Bacterial small subunit ribosomal RNA
Source: RNAcentral